RNAcentral lists this ribosomal RNA (213 nucleotides) under uncultured bacterium. Its description in RNAcentral is "partial 16S ribosomal RNA". It matches the Rfam family "Bacterial small subunit ribosomal RNA", at positions 118 to 335 of the family's 1533-position model. The record is from RNAcentral.
UGAGCAAUCUGCCCCUGACUCUGGGAUAACAGUUGGAAACAGCUGCUAAUACCGGAUACGAGCUGCGAAGGCAUCUUCAGCAGCUGGAAAGAACUUCGGUCAGGGAUGAGCUCGCGGCCUAUCAGCUAGUUGGUGAGGUAAUGGCUCACUAAGCGUCGACGGGUAGCCGGCCUGAGAGGGCGACCGGCCACACUGGGACUGAGAUACGGCAGA